AACGGAGGAGUAAGCAAGCUCUCAGUCCAAUUUCCCAAGUAUCUUUUCCUCCCCUUUUCAAACAGGGAUCCAGGCGACACUCGUGGCAGACGAUCUCAACACCAAAAGAACAGCAGCUGCCAGCUGCAUAAAACAGAUUGAGGCCUGCAAAUUGACUGAAAUGAUGACUACUCUUAACCAGACAUCUCAUUUUUCCACUUCUGACAGGCUGAGAUCUGCAAACCUCUGGGUCUCAAGAGAUGAAGGCUACAUUAGCCAACUAAGACGACAAACUCAACUCUUCCUUGUCAUUAAAUAAUUUGCCAGUUAUAAAUGGUUUGGUAACUUUACAGAAUUUAAGUACAUGUAAUGUUUAAAUUUCCCCAUUAAAUGUAAGAGGCAAAGAAAAUCCUUUUAAAUAACUAAGCAGAGGAUAUGAAAGGGGAGCCAAGAAUAGACAGAACUGUUACUUUUCAAAGAACCUUCGCUCUUUAUUCAAACAAAUAUUUACACAAUUGAAGGCAACGGCAAGAGAGAUAUAGCCAUUCUGUUAAAAUAGUGGGCAACUCUAACGGUUUAUUUAUCCCAAAUCCGACAGUUCUGUUGCUAACCUACCAGGAACCAAGAAUUCAAGUGUUCACAGGGCAAAAGUUUAACCUUCUGAAACUGUGGACCUCAUUUAGAUCUCUCCCAGCCGAAUUCAAACGUUAGAAUCCCAGAGACAUAUCUCGAACGCCCAAAUUAAACCAAACUAGGAAGCUUAAAAUUACACGUCCAAUACUUGAAAACCUACAUCUGUAACUUACACGUUCAUAUUACGAAGGGAAAUGUGGCUGACAAAUAUUUACACUAAAAAGACUCCACAUUUUUAUGCCUCGUCUAGUUACACUCCCAGCUGUGCCUGGCUAUGACUAGUUGUGCAUUCUAGAGCUCUUUAGAGCUACUUCAGAGUUGCAGGAUAAAGAUUUCUAGGGAAGAGGGCAGGGCCAGGCGCCCGGAGGAUUUCCAGCCACGGGUAGUUUACCGAGAGAAAAAGCUGCGGGCGUCGCUCCCUCUUUUACAUAAGAAAGGCUAAGCUCUAAAAGGCAGACAACUUCUUCCUGGCCCUUCGGAGAAGCUAGCCCUUGGAACCUAGGCCCUGAGUCGUGAGGAAGAGGAAAGACUACAUGGGGUCACUAUGUAAGGUGUUCCUGGUGACAGCUCCUGCUGAGGACCCAGCUGACAGCAAGCACCAACCUCCAGACAACAAGAGCUUUCUUCUGGCACAUCUGGUUUAUGUGAAUACAUUAGUGAGUUUCCCAGGAAGCCGCAGCAUCACACAAAGGCCCAUGAUCAUUUCACCAGGUUGACCUGAACAUCAUUGGCUAAACAUAGGAAAUCAAGAAAUUGUUAAAACUUCGCCAAAGUUUUCUACCUCUAAUAGUUAAGAGAUGAUGAAGGGAAGACUCUGUUCUUCAGAAGAAUUCAAUAAUGUCUUCUUUCACAGGCUUUAAAAGAUUAUCUCUUCAAAGAUUCUUCUAACUUUUUGUUUGUUUAUAGACCAUGUGUUCUCAAUAGGAACAAUAUUGUCCACCAAAGGGUGAAAAUUGGUUCUUGGGGGGUUUAACAUUUUCUUACUAUUUUAAUGUAUAAAGCACAGAUAUACCUAUAUACAGUUCACAAACAACAUAAUGGUGUCUCUGUGGCAUUAAAUCUCAUGGAGGAGAGGACGAUCAGAAAAAAUGUCUAAAAAGGCUUCUUUAGGGAUGUGAUACUGAACAAAAGUUUAGAAACUGAAUUAGAGGACAGGAAAGGCACAUAAAGAGUUUAAAGGGACUAAUCAAACAGGACGUUUUCAACUGAUUACAUGAAUUUGGUCUGAGACUGAUUCCUCAGAAUGCCCCCCACUCUCAAGAUACCAUUUCACCUGAAGUCAUUAGCUUUGGAAUAGAAAGGAACAAAUCUACGCUUUGUUAAGAAAUAUUUGUAAAUUGGAAAUUUUCAUUCUUUAUCUCACUUUGUUUUAAAGCAACAUCAGAGAAAAAAAUUGUUAUAUCCAUUUUUUAUAGCUGAGGGAAGUAACGCUCAAUGAGGUUAACACUUUCAAAUUCUACAAAGAAUACACAGUUUCUGAGUGUAAUUAGUGAAUGUAAGAACCUGAGUUUGUUUGAUUUCAAAGCCCAUGAUUUCCUCCCACUCAUGUGCUAGCCAGGGAUUGCUGGUGGGUGAGAUGGUGUUCCAUUCUACUAUCCUGAGUUCACUGAAAAUUGACUCAAAUGCCUGAGUCAGGAAUUGAUGUGUUCUCACAGCUCGAAUUCUGGGAAGACUAGUGGUGGGGGUGGGGCUGUCACUAAGAUGUCCAGGAGUUCUGCACGGGGUGGUGGGGGCACAUUCUCCCGGGAAGUUUCAACUGGACUGGAGUUUACAGGAAUCCAAGAGCUUUGGCUAGAACAGAACCAAUCUCAGGAUUGCAGAGAACCCUGUUAGUAGCAACCUUACAUUCCAUUCCAUAUUUGUCAGUGAGGGAGAGGCACUCUGAUCCCCAUCAGAAAUUUGAAGAACCACAUAAGUUUUGGCUAGCUGCCUGUUCCCUCUGCUUCACAGCUUAACGAUGAAACUUUUGUUUGCUGUGUUCUUCCAUCCUCUGCUCCCAAGUAGCAGAUGCCAACCAAGGAAUGACUGCUGAUUUCAAAAUUAGAGAGAUGGCCAUAUAGACUAUGAACAUAUAGAUCAUUUCUGCUUUUUCUUUUGUUUCUAGAGAUUAGUAUAAAACUUUUUGUACAACAUCCCCUAUACUCAUUAAAUCUGUGACAUCCUUGUUGCUACCUGAUAUCAUAUAUCUGCUUUAUUUUAUAUUUCUGCUUUUCCUUUUCCAGUGACAGGUUGCCAUUUUAAAGAUGAUUAAUUAUCUAUCAUUUGGGAGCAGGACCAUAACCUUU
This 2897-nucleotide long non-coding RNA is filed under the name Homo sapiens (human). Its description in RNAcentral is "HSALNT0313794". Lineage: Eukaryota; Metazoa; Chordata; Mammalia; Primates; Hominidae. The record is from RNAcentral.